UGGUCGUGCAAGUUUUUCUAUUUUGUACUUUUUCUUUUGAUAUUAAUAAUUAUUAUUUUUAACGGCACAUUUUUUAUCAUAAAUAAUUUUGAAAUUGGUCUAAUUCAUCCUUUGAUCAUUUAACUGAAAAAUCGAUCAAAAUCAUUUUUAGAUUUAACUACCGUAUAUCAAUGUAGUCUCUCAUCAAAUUCAUUAAAUUUUCUAGAAGAAUGCUGGCCUACCAUACAAGAACCACACAUAACUAAUAAUUUUGUGUCACAUAGAGAGUAUAAAAAACACUCUUGAAAAUUAAAAAAAAACUAGAAACCAAAUAAGAAAUUAACAACCUUCCCUCCAAAUACUAGUUUUCUCCUUUACAUUUAGCAUGCAAUGACUGGUUGGGUGAUGUGACAGCCCGUCCCUAAUUUUAAGAAUUUUUAAAGUUUUCAUAAAGGAUUUUACAAAAAUGCCCUUUGAAGGUACGUGCAUUAUUCGAGGUUAAUCACCAUGUCGUGCCAUCUAAGAUUUGUUUUCUUGAUAUAUCCCCGUAGUACUCGUCGUUACGGACGCGUGGGCGCAGACGGUUCGUGAUUUGGAGUUAUAUCGAGGAAGUUAUUAAAGUUUGAAGUUGGGAUUUUAAGGAAUUAUAAUUUUAGUAAAAUAUAGAAAUUCUUUUAUGAAAAUGGACGGCCCAGAUUUAAUGAUGAAUGAAAUGGAUGGUUGGGAUGAGAGAAAGUUUUGUGUGUGUGUAUGCGUGAGAAGAAAACAGAAAAGAAGAGGGAUUGAGCAAAGCUGCCCAAUCGGAGAAGAAGGAGGAGAGACCGAAUGGGGAGAAGAGAGAGGGAGAAGCUGACCAACUAGAGGAAGGAAAGGAGGAAAGGAGAGAGGGCGAGAAGCGGAGGAGAGAAGGAAGAAAUGGGUUUUCCCCAACCCGUAUAUACCCGCGCGACCCGCGACUUCCAAUCGGCGGGUUUUCGCCAUUUUCGUCCAAUUUUCCGACGAAUUGAAUCAGGGUACCACUCCUAAUCAUCAUCUAGGCCUUCCCUCUUCACGUUUCACCCCAAGAAUCAUUGAAUUUCGUUGUGAUUUCGCGAAGAACACCCCUACGGGUGCCGCGACCCUUUUGUUUAAAUUCUCCAAAUUUUGAAAUGUUUUUCUUUCAAUUACUAACACACCAUUAGCAUUCCCUUAGGACCUAAAACAAAGCCCAAGAGGUAAUUGAGGCGUUGGAACAAGUUUGAAGGUCGAAUUGGAAACACCCAAUUCUAGGGUUCUUCACGGUUUUUGGUGAAAUUGAAGCACUUCCAGGCCAAAUUGGCCUUGGCCUCAGGUAUGAAAGUUGUUCUACUCAUUGAGAUCUUCAAAUCUGCAAAUUUUAGUAAUUUUUGGAAAUAGUUGAAUUUUCCGGCGAGCCGGGGCGGCCAACCGCCACCCGCGGCGGCCCGCGCGGCGGUGCGUGGCCAAUGGCCCGCCAAUGUCAUUAUUAGCUUGUGAUUAAGGUUCUAGGUUCUGUUUUGAUAAUUGAUGGACGUAAAUUGAAUAAUUGAACCUAAGUUGGUUACGAUUCGUGGUUAGGUAAAAAUGUGAAUUGACGAUCCGACCGUUGGAUCGUCACCAAACUUUGAUACUUUGUAAUACGUAAUAUUUGAGGAUUAUAGGAAUUUACGGAUUGAGAAUCCGAUUUACGGAUCUUCCGGAAUUGAAGUUGUAAGUUCAUAAAAUAGAAUGUUAACAGUCACUUAGUUUUGGAAAUUGACGGAGAUCCGACCGUUGGAUGGUAAUGAAAUUUUAGGAUGUUGUCCUAGAGGUAUAUUGUGGACCUCUGGAAGUUACGGAUUUGAAAUCUGAGUUGCAGAUCAUCCGGAUCGAAUUACGUAGUGACGUGUCUUAUAUAAGUUAUGUAUUCUAUCGGCAGGAUUUCUGAGGUUGGGUUUGAUUAUUGUUCUAGGCGCUAAUCUUCAUGACGCCUUGAUGUGUGGUGCUAGGGAGUUGUUGGGCGAACUCCAGGUGAGUGGGCAGUUUUGUUUUCGUAUUACCUAUAUACUAUUGUUUUUCCCAGAAAAAUGCUUUUAUGAGAAAUUAUGUUUUGAAAAUGCCAUGCAUAGAAUUAUUUGGAAAAUGUGAAUUUCAUAUGAGUUAUAUGAUUGAUAUAUGAUGCAUACAUGUUGCAUGGUGCUGUGGAGACACAGGUAAGUCAGGUGAGUUCAUUUAUUCAUUGAAUUGUUGUUGAGAUGUUUGAGCUCAUAACCUGCACCCUAGGUGUUAGUGCUUAUUUUAUUCACCACACCGCACGCUCGCCUUGGAUCCAAGUAGGUGGAUGUCGUACAGACCAUGUGAGGGUUCCGACAUGCCAGUCGUACAGACCAUUAGAGGGGUUCCGACUGGUGGGUGACCUUAGAUAUGCGCGCUGAUGAUAUGAUGAGAGAAGCACUAGAGCGUAUUUUUACACCUAUCAUCGUAUAGACUACCUUACGUAGUUCCGAGUGAUGUGCAGAGUAGGGCCGUAUAGGUCACUGUGGUGACUCCGGCUUAGUGAGAUAUUGAGCUAUUGAAUUAAUCGUAUAGGACCAACUGCAGGGUCUCCGAUUGAUUCCUUAUUUCACCUGAUUUAUAUUUUGAUUUAUGGCAUGACAUGUUUUUCUUGAAAAAUGUUAAAGAUUUGGAAUUCAAGUUUUGAGAUUUCAUAUGGUUUUAUAUAUAUAUAUAUAUAUAUUUUUUUUUUUCUGAAAAGUGUUAAAGGUUUGAGAUUUGAGAUUUUUGCUUAUAUAUAUGUUUAUAUAUAUGCUAUUUUCUGGGAAAGUAUACAGGUUUUACGGUGAGGGGUUAGAAAUGUUUUAAAUGAAAAGUUUUCGAAAAACUUUGUUUUACUGACCCACUCAAUUUUGUUUUGCGCCCCUCCAGGUUCAAGUUAGCAGAGCUUUGGUGGCCACGAGGAAUCCAACGGUGUUCUGACAUAAUUCACAAAAGUAGGACUCACCCUCGGAUGUGUUAUCUUAGUAAUUGGAAAUUUUUUUAAAGCUUCCGAACUGUGUAAAUGGUUACGUCACUCUCACGUGACGGCCAGCACGCCCUCCUUCGGGACGGGGUGUGUCAGUUGGUAUCAGAGCCUAGGUUGCAAUUCUGGACAUCUUGAGAAUUUCCUAGUGUUUUCUGUCAGAACUAUACCGCCUCGUAGCGAGCCACGUAGUUCGGAUGAGCCUAAAUUCCCUGAUAUAGUAGUUUGGGGGGGAACUAUUGCCAUUGUGAUUCAGUCUAUUAUCUAAAGGAACCUUGAGACUGGUUAUAAGUUAAAUUUGAAUACAGACUUGCCUUGUUUCCAUUCGGAUGUUGUUACUAAUCCGGUCGAGGUGUUAUGUCGUUUUUGGCUGGAUAAUAAGAAGAAGUGACGUUCUUUGGCGACCACAAUCCAUUGUACUUUUUACCAAGAGUUUACGAGAUGUUGUUGGGCUUUAAAGACUUUGAGAAUAUGAUCAGCGAGAGUAAAGAGGAAUAAGAAAGGAAUGAGAAUCAGAAUAAGACGAUAAAGUUAAAGAUUCGUCAUAUCAAAAGACCUCGGAGGACUCAGAGCUUCAAAGGAAGUGAAAUUAGAGCUAAUUUUCCCAGCUUAGGUUUUACUGCCACUGGUCAGAGGCGAAGUGAUAGAUUUACUAGUGAUCCCAGAUUUUUGAGACAAGAUGACUCUGGUAGAGGAAAUGUAUAUUUGUGCCAUAGGUAUAAUAUUAGACACUUUGGAGAGUGUGGGAAUCAGUGAAUGUGUUCAUGUGGACGGAUGGGACAUAGAGGUAUGAAUUGUCCCUGAGAUCAGUUGUUACCCAACAGUCUUCCUUAACAUAUCACUUGGAAAAUUGACGGGUAAGUCGUACAGGUCACUAUAUGUGACUUCGACUUAUGAGCUAGCAUGGAUAGUCAAGUUGUAGACUCAGUCGCACAGGUCAUUCUAGCUGACUCCAACUGAUAUAUUUCUUAUUAUGGAUGAUGUUGCCAAAGAAAGUAAUGUUGGAGCACGAUCGAGGCGUAUUUAUGUAUUUCUAAGGAAGAACAAGAUAAUAUUACACAUUCAGGAAUUGUUACUUACUUAUCGAGACAACAUUGGGUUAUUUGUAUUGCGGGCUGCAUACCGUAAUAUUUAUAACUUAUUUGUUGGAUUCGUUAAGCAAGUAAACACGUAGGUCAUCCUACGUUAGUAUGGUGCUAUUUAGGGUGUCCGGUGAUGGUGAAAAAUGUCAUGUCGGUGAAUUUUAUUCCGUUGGAUAUUGUGGAUUUUGAGGUGAUUUUUGGCACAAAGUGGGUGCAGAAUAAAUUUGCCAAGCUAGAUUGCUAUGGCGAAUCAGUUAAUUUUUGUCGACCUGGAUGACCAUAGGUUACUUUUGGGGGUAAGUAAAGUGGAGUGAGUCAUGCCAUUAUUCAUGUUGAGAGAGCAAAGAAGAUUGUUAUCAAAAGGCUGCCAAGAUAUUUAGUUCAUAUGGUGCUAAAUGAUGUUGAUCCUAAUAGUAUGGAAGAUGUAAAGAUGGUUAGACAUUUUCCUGGUGUAUUUCCAAAUGACUUACCUAGAUUACCGCCAGGCAGAGAUGUGGGUUCCAUUAUUGAAUUGUUUUUAGGUACAAAUCCUAUGUUAGAGAUUGGUUCAGGUUGAGUUAAAAGUUCCAUUCAACUUAUUAUAUCACAUUGGAAAAGCUUCGGUUUAUUUGUGAGGAAGAAAGUGGACAUUAAGGCUAGGCAUUGAUAUUAGGUAAUUGAAUCGGGUAACGAUUGAGAGCUGUUAUCCAUUGUUGUGUAUUGAUGAUUAUUUGAUCAGCUCUGAGGCGCCUGGGUACUUUCUGAGAUUGACUAGAGGUCUGAAUGAUAUUAGUUGAAGAUUAACAGUGAGGAUGUUCAUAAGACUGAAUCCAGGACUCGUUAUGGUCAUUUCAAGUUAGGAUGCCAUACGGAGUGACGAAUGCACCUGCUACUUUUAUGAGUUUGCUGAAGGAAGUAUUCCAGUGAUAUCUGGACCGGGUUGUUAUUGUUUGCCAUUGACGAGAUUGAUAAGAUUAGAGCAGUGCAUGCUAGAUAUUUAAAGUUGGUGUUGCAAAGAUUGAGGGAACGUUGAUGUAUGCUAAGUUUAGCAAAUGCUAAUGUUGGAUAAAUUAAUUAUAUCUACUUAAGGUAUUCAAAUGGAUUCUUAAAAGAGUAGCAACGAUUGAGAAUUUGGAACAAUUGCGAACUGUGACUGAGGUUCAGAGUUUUCUCGGAUUAGCAGGAUAUUGUCGAUAGUUCGUCCAAGAUUUUAAUUAUUGCUUCGCCCUUGGCGAGAUUGAUGAGAAAAGAGGUUAAGUUUGAGUGGGAUGAAAAAUUAUAAGUAGAGCUUCAGCAAGUAAAGUAUUCCCUCACUCAUGCAUCUGUUUUCACACUCCCAGACGAUAGUGGUAAUUAUGUGGUCUAUAGUAAUACUUCUUUGAAUGUUCUUGAAUGCGCGUUGAUGCAGCAUGGUAGGAUGAUUGCCUAUGCUUCAUGGCCAUUGGGAUCUCAUAAGAUGAAUUACCCUACGUGUGAUUUGGAAUUGGCGGCUAUCAUUCUUACUUUGAAGUUAUGGAGACAUUAUAUUAUUGGUGAGAAAUGCAAGAUUUUAAUGAAUCAUAAGAGUCUCCAAUAUAUGUUUACGCUGAGAGAUAUUAAUCUUAGGCAACAAAGGUGGAUUGAGUUGCUUAGUGAUUAUGAUUGUGCGACUAGGGUGGUCGAGCUAAUAUUGUGGCUGAUGCAUUUAGUAGGAAGACCCCAGUGAGAAUUAAUGCUUGGUACGCUUGCUAUGUUCAUCUUCUUCUUGUGGAUUUGAAAUCUACUGGAGUAAAGUUGGGUAUCGAAAAAUCGAGAAGAAGCCUUAUUUGCUAAUUUCCAAGUUGGACCCAUUUGGUAGAUCGUACUCGAGACUCAAGCGUUUGACGAAGAAAUUCAAGAAUUUAUUUAAAGCAAGGAAUAACGGGAAAAAGAAAGACCUUAGAGUUAGAGAAUCAGAUGACAAGCUUAUGCAAGGGAACAAAGUGUUUAUGCCUAAUGGUGUGGAAUUAAAGAAAGCAAUUUUGACGAUGUACAUUAUUCCACUUCUACAAUGCAUCCCGAAAGUACUAAGAUUUAUCAUACCAUUCGUUCAUGUACUAUUGACGGGUAUGAAAAGAGGAAUGGCGAAGUAUGUUAGUAGGCGUAUCAUCAGUCAUCAGGUUAAAGCAGAAAGAAAUAAGUCUUUUGGAAUAAUGUAGUCAUUUCCCAUUCCACGGCGGAAAUGGGAGAAUAUUACUAUGGAUUUCGUGGACAAGCUUCCUCGUAUACAAAAUAGUUAGGUUGGAAUUUGAAUAAUAAUUGAUCGACUUGUGACGUCAGCGUAUGUUACUUCAGUAUGAGAACAUCAACCUUUCCAGAUAAGCGCAACAGUUAUUUAUUUGUUUUAUGGAAAAAGGAGAUUGGGAUCUGUUAAACUUCUUGGGUAUGUUGGUCCCUUCAGUUUGUUCCCUAGAGUAACGCCAUAAGGCCGUGGAAAGCUAUGUCUUGUGUUUUCGAAAUUGUUAGAAUUGGGGACGGAUGAUAUUCAAGACUCUGAGUUUGGUGAAAAUUUAUGGAGGAAUCUUUCAGUGGAAGAAACUACUUGAAAGUCAGAGAAUCGAAUGAGAGAGAGAGUUGUGUUUCGGGCUGUUUUAUGGAUAUUGCUGGAUUGUAAAGAUUGUGUAAAUUUCGGGGACGAAAUUUCUUUAAGGUGGGUAGAUUGUGACAGCCCGUCCCUAAUUUUAAGAAUUUUUAAAGUUUUCAUAAAGGAUUUUACAAAAAAUGCCCUUUGAAGGUACGUGCAUUAUUCGAGGUUAAUCACCAUGUCGUGCCAUCUAAGAUUUGUUUUCUUGACAUAUCCCCGUAGUACUCGUCGUUACGGACGCGUGGGCGCAGACGGUUCGUGAUUUGGAGUUAUAUCGAAGAAGUUAUUAAAGUUUGAAGUUGGGAUUUUAAGGAAUUAUAAUUUUAGUAAAAUAUAGAAAUUCUUUUAUGAAAAUGGACGGCCCAGAUUUAAUGAUGAAUGAAAUGGAUGGUUGGGAUGAGAGAAAGUUUUGUGUGUGUGUGUGUGCGUGAGAAGAAAACAGAAAAGAGAGAGGGAUUGGGCAAAGCUGCCCAAUCGGAGAAGAAGGAGGAGAGACCGAAUGGGGAGAAGAGAGAGGGAGAAGCUGACCAACUAGAGGAAGGAAAGGAGGAAAGGAGAGAGGGCGAGAAGCGGAGGAGAGAAGGAAGAAAUGGGUUUUUCCCCAACCCGUAUACCCGCGCGACCCGCGACUUCCAAUCGGCGGGUUUUCGCCAUUUUCGUCCAAUUUUCCGACGAAUUGAAUCAAGGGUACCACUCCUAAUCAUCAUCUAGGCCUUCCCUCUUCACGUUUCACCCCAAGAAUCAUUGAAUUUCGUUGUGAUUUCGCGAAGAACACCCCUACGGGUGCCGCGACCCUUUUGUUUAAAUUCUCCAAAUUUUGAAAUGUUUUCUUUCAAUUACUAACACCAUUAGCAUUCCCUUAGGACCUAAAACAAAGCCCAAGAGGUAAUUGAGGCGUUGGAACAAGUUUGAAGGUCGAAUUGGAAACACCCAAUUCUAGGGUUCUUCACGGUUUUGGUGAAAUUGAAGCACUUCCAGGCCAAAUUGGCCUUGGCCUCAGGUAUGAAAGUUGUUCUACUCAUUGAGAUCUUCAAAUCUGCAAAUUUUAGUAAUUUUUGGAAAUAGUUGAAUUUUCCGGCGAGCCGGGGCGGCCAACCGCCACCCGCGGCGGCCCGCGCGGCGGUGCGUGGCCAAUGGCCCGCCAAUGUCAUUAUUAGCUUGUGAUUAAGGUUCUAGGUUCUGUUUUGAUAAUUGAUGGACGUAAAUUGAAUAAUUGAACCUAAGUUGGUUACGAUUCGUGGUUAGGUAAAAAUGUGAAUUGACGAUCCGACCGUUGGAUCGUCACCAAACUUUGAUACGUUGUAAUACGUAAUAUUUGAGGAUUAUAGGAACUUACGGAUUGAGAAUCCGAUUUACGGAUCUUCCGGAAUUGAAGUUGUAAGUUCAUAAAAUAGAAUGUUAACCGUCACUUAGUUUUGGAAAUUGACGGAGAUCCGACCGUUGGAUGGUAAUGAAAUUUUAGGAUGUUGUCCUAGAGGUAUAUUGUGGACCUCUGGAAGUUACGGAUUUGAAAUCUGAGUUGCAGAUCAUCCGGAUCGAAUUACGUAGUGACGUGUCUUAUAUAAGUUAUGUAUUCUAUCGGCAGGAUUUCUGAGGUUGGGUUUGAUUAUUGUUCUAGGCGCUAAUCUUCAUGAUGCCUUGAUGUGUGGUGCUAGGGAGUUGUUGGGCGAACUCCAGGUGAGUGGGCAGUUUUGUUUUGUAUUACCUUAUAUACUAUUGAUUUUUCCCAGAAAAUGAAUUUUAUGAAAAUUAUGUUUUAAAAAUGCCAUGCAUAGAAUUAUUUGGAAAAUGUGAAUUUCAUAUGAGUUAUAUGAUUGAUAUAUGAUGCAUACAUGUUGCAUGGUGCUGUGGAGGCACAGGUAAGUCAGGUGAGUUCAUUUAUUCAUUGAAUUGUUGUUGAGAUGUUUUGAGCUCAUAACCUGCACCCUAGGUGUUAGUGCUUAUUUUAUUCACCACACCGCACGCUCGCCUUGGAUCCAAGUAGGUGGAUGUCGUACAGACCAUGUGAGGGUUCCGACAUGCCAGUCGUACAGACCAUUAGAGGGGUUCCGACUGGUGGGUGACCUUAGAUAUGCGCGCUGAUGAUAUGAUGAGAGAAGCACUAGAGCGUAUUUUACACCUUUCAUCGUAUAGACUACCUUACGUAGUUCCGAGUGAUGUGCAGAGUAGGGCCGUAUAGGUCACUGUGGUGACUCCGGCUUAGUGAGAUAUUGAGCUAUUGAAUUAAUCGUAUAGGACCAACUGCAGGGUCUCUCCGAUUGAUUCCUUAUUUCACCUGAUUUAUAUUUUGAUUUAUGGCAUGGACAUGUUUUUCUUGAAAAAUGUUAAAGAUUUGGAAUUCAAGUUUUGAGAUUUCAUAUGGUUUUAUAUAUAUAUAUAUAUAUAUAUAUAUAUUUUUCUGAAAAGUGUUAAAGGUUUGAGAUUUGAGAUUUUUGCUUAUAUAUAUGUUUAUAUAUAUGCUAUUUUCUGGGAAAGUAUACAGGUUUUACGGUGAGGGGUUAGAAAUGUUUUAAAUGAAAAGUUUUCGAAAAACUUUGUUUUACUGACCCACUCAAUUUUGUUUUGCGCCCCUCCAGGUUCAAGUUAGCAGAGCUUUGGUGGCCACGAGGAAUCCAACGGUGUUCUGACAUAAUUCACAAAAGUAGGACUCACCCUCGGGUGUGUUAUCUUAGUAAUUGGAAAUUUUUUUAAAGCUUCCGAACUGUGUAAAUGGUUACGUCACUCUCACGUGACGGCCAGCACGCCCUCCUUCGGGACGGGGUGUGUCAGGUGAAAUGGCAGAUAAAUUGCAGAGAGGCAAACAAUCGUUUCACUGUUUGAUUUCUCUUCAAAAAAAGCUCAUUGCCAUUAAGGAAUAUAGUCUUCGUCUAUUUGUUUGAUUAGUUCAAUGACCAAAUGUUGUUUAAUUUGCUUAAUUUUUUUACAAGGGUGAUCAUUUAGACAUUGCAGAGUGGGUCCAAAUGAACGGUUAAAGUCUCAUUAACCUACUGGUCAGUUAGUUUUUAAUUUGAACGACACACCGCAGACUCGAAAUCGAUAAAAAUUCAUAAAUAUAAAGUGUGAGUUAAUUAAUAAUUAAAAGGAAACUAAAAUAGGGUCAAAUUAAUCUCUCUUAUAAAAAGAACUUUUUAAAAAAUAUAUAUAUUAUUAUAAGAUGAGAGGAGAGAGUUCAAACUAUUACAAUAAUUUGGAGAAAAGACACUUUCAAACCAAAACCGCAUAGGUAAAAACACAACACUCUAUCAACUAAGCUAAAUAAAUAAUUUGAUCUCAUCCCACCUAUCAUUUUGAUUGUCUAGUUCAUAAACCUGCAAAAAAUAUGGAGUGGUGAACUUUAACAACUCAAUAUGGACAUACCUUAUAAAAAAGACUCAAUAUAUACAUGAACAUUAAUUGAUAAAACUAAAUUAAAUGUCAUGUAACACGUAAUUCAACUAUAACAUGUUAUCAAUAAUCAACUAUAUGGGUUAUAUUUCAUAAUGCAACUAAUUAACUUCAAUUACUCAACCCGUUAAUCUAUAUAAUAGAACAAGUAGACAUGCAUUUUCCAUACCAUGCAUUUGACCACUGCAAUGGUUGUGUGAAAGCUCUAUUAUAUAAACCAACACUUGUAAGUCAAUCAUUCCAAUUUUUUUCUCUUGUUAGUCAUCUUUCCUCAACUCCUUGUACCCAACUCCAAAAUACCCAAUAAAAAUCAUGUGCACUUUAGGCUAACUUGAGACCUGGUACAUAACAAAAGUUAAACUCAACUACACAAAAGAUUCUUUCAAAUUAUCUCAACUUCAUAAUUUCGAACUAUUAUCUCAACUCCAUAAUUCCGAACAACUAUCUCAAAUGAGUGAUUCACAAAUUUGUCUCAUUUAUUUUUAUCUUUAACAUAUAUCACAAUAUAUUCUCAAUGAAUAACAUUCUA
Molecule: long non-coding RNA, 10550 nt
Filed under: Malus domestica (apple)
Lineage: Eukaryota; Viridiplantae; Streptophyta; Magnoliopsida; Rosales; Rosaceae
Description: long non-coding RNA (MDOM_LNC011709)
Source: RNAcentral